RNAcentral lists this ribosomal RNA (206 nucleotides) under Vibrio cholerae. RNAcentral's name for it is "partial 23S ribosomal RNA". It matches the Rfam family "Bacterial large subunit ribosomal RNA", at positions 1419 to 1629 of the family's 2925-position model. The record is from RNAcentral. Lineage: Bacteria; Pseudomonadati; Pseudomonadota; Gammaproteobacteria; Vibrionales; Vibrionaceae.
UGGGAAACGGGUUAAUAUUCCCGUACUUCUGACUAUUGCGAUGGGGGGACGGAGAAGGCUAGGUGGGCCAGGCGACGGUUGUCCUGGUUCAAGUGCGUAGGCUUGAGAGUUAGGUAAAUCCGGCUCUCUCUAAGGCUGAGACACGACGUCGAGCUACUACGGUAGUGAAGUCAUUGAUGCCAUGCUUCCAGGAAAAGCCUCUAAGC